Molecule: long non-coding RNA, 906 nt
Filed under: Pan troglodytes (chimpanzee)
Lineage: Eukaryota; Metazoa; Chordata; Mammalia; Primates; Hominidae
Description: lincRNA
Source: RNAcentral
GCUGCCGCUAAUGGAGUUGGACUCAUGAGUGAGGGAGUAAGUGCCUGUGAAUGACAUCAUUAUGCGACAUCAUAGGACAGUUUUUUCUUUCUUUUAUUCACUCGUCUUUCUUUUAUUUCAACUGAUGAUAUCAGGUGGCUUCUUCAAAUGAAUUUUUAAGUAUCUCGAUGAUGAUGAAGAACAAAGACAUCAAUCAGGAUUCAGGAAGACAGCUUUUGCGGAAAAUGCUUAAAAGGAAGCAUCAAGGAUUGGUGUUGAUAUUUGAAAGUUUAAGAGUGGUAUACUUUUAUUCAGUCAACACAUGCCAAAUGUAAAAGGCACUCAUUUGUUGUUCCUGGAAGAAGCCUGGCAGCAUUCCAUUCAGACAUCUGCCCUUUCAUCGUCCCACUUUUUACUUAUUGCAGUCCUUUCAGUCUGAAUAUUUCCUCCUGACGCAUCUUCUGCCGUCCGAAAUGACUCCCUGCUCCCGGAUCCUGUAGCCCUUAUUAUUGACACCUUUCAUUUAGAAAUUUAGCACAUGUCACAUUACACCAUUAUUGAAUAAAUAAAUAAAUGAAUAAAUAAAUAAAGAUGUAUGUCCUUCCCAAGUAUAUCAGAGAACUAUCUGGACAAUUUCUUUCUUUCCCAAUUCUCAGAAUCAGCAGUAUUCUGUCAAGAAACAUUUAUCGACGAUGAUGGCAAUAGUCGAUUAAAAUCAGAUGAAGUUUUAUUUUUAAAAAAAGGUUGAGCGGAGAGACAAGGCUGAAGGUUUGGAAGUUGAGACAACCAUCUUCAAUAAACGUUUUCUCAUCUAAGGGCUGUAUGUACAUCAUUUUGGGGAAGGUAGAGAUUGAGGGAGGAAGAACAUCACUGGAGGAAGAGACAGCAGUUUGUCUUUCGAGUUUCAAUAAAGUUUCAAAAAUCCUG